Y RNA from Callithrix jacchus (white-tufted-ear marmoset), 96 nucleotides. It matches the Rfam family "Y RNA". From Rfam's summary of the family: Y RNAs are components of the Ro ribonucleoprotein particle (Ro RNP), in association with Ro60 and La proteins. The Y RNAs and Ro60 and La proteins are well conserved, but the function of the Ro RNP is not known. NCBI's taxonomy places the organism in Eukaryota, Metazoa, Chordata, Mammalia, Primates, Cebidae. The record is from Ensembl.
GGCUGGUCCGAUGGUAGUGGGUUAUCAGAACUUACUAACAUUAGUGUCACUAGAGUUGGUAUACAACCCCCCAUUGCUAAAUUUGACUGGCUAUUU